This 492-nucleotide ribosomal RNA is filed under the name uncultured bacterium. Its description in RNAcentral is "partial 16S ribosomal RNA". It matches the Rfam family "Bacterial small subunit ribosomal RNA", at positions 29 to 507 of the family's 1533-position model. The record is from RNAcentral.
AGUGAACGCUGGCGGUAGGCCUAACACAUGCAAGUCGAACGGCAGCACAGUGAGAGCUUGCUCUUACGGGUGGCGAGUGGCGGACGGGUGAGGAAUACAUCGGAAUCUACUUUUUCGUGGGGGAUAACGUAGGGAAACUUACGCUAAUACCGCAUACGACCUACGGGUGAAAGCAGGGGAUCUUCGGACCUUGCGCGAUUGAAUGAGCCGAUGUCGGAUUAGCUAGUUGGCGGGGUAAAGGCCCACCAAGGCGACGAUCCGUAGCUGGUCUGAGAGGAUGAUCAGCCACACUGGAACUGAGACACGGUCCAGACGCCUACGGGAGGCAGCAGUGGGGAAUAUUGGACAAUGGGCGCAAGCCUGAUCCAGCCAUACCGCGUGGGUGAAGAAGGCCUUCGGGUUGUAAAGCCCUUUUGUUGGGAAAGAAAAGCAGCAGGUUAAUACCCCGCUGUUCUGACGGUACCCAAAGAAUAAGCACCGGCUAACUUCGUG